This 464-nucleotide ribosomal RNA is filed under the name uncultured bacterium. RNAcentral's name for it is "partial 16S ribosomal RNA". It matches the Rfam family "Bacterial small subunit ribosomal RNA", at positions 342 to 795 of the family's 1533-position model. The record is from RNAcentral.
CGGGUCGCUGCAGCAGUGGGGAAUAUUGCACAAUGGGCGCAAGCCUGAUGCAGCCAUGCCGCGUGUAUGAAGAAGGCCUUCGGGUUGUAAAGUACUUUCAGCGGGGAGGAAGGGAGUAAAGUUAAUACCUUUGCUCAUUGACGUUACCCGCAGAAGAAGCACCGGCUAACUCCGUGCCAGCAGCCGCGGUAAUACGGAGGGUGCAAGCGUUAAUCGGAAUUACUGGGCGUAAAGCGCACGCAGGCGGUUUGUUAAGUCAGAUGUGAAAUCCCCGGGCUCAACCUGGGAACUGCAUCUGAUACUGGCAAGCUUGAGUCUCGUAGAGGGGGGUAGAAUUCCAGGUGUAGCGGUGAAAUGCGUAGAGAUCUGGAGGAAUACCGGUGGCGAAGGCGGCCCCCUGGACGAAGACUGACGCUCAGGUGCGAAAGCGUGGGGAGCAAACAGGAUUAGAUACCCCCGUAGUC